Molecule: transfer RNA, 74 nt
Rfam family: tRNA
About the family: Transfer RNA (tRNA) molecules are approximately 80 nucleotides in length. Their secondary structure includes four short double-helical elements and three loops (D, anti-codon, and T loops). Further hydrogen bonds mediate the characteristic L-shaped molecular structure. tRNAs have two regions of fundamental functional importance: the anti-codon, which is responsible for specific mRNA codon recognition, and the 3' end, to which the tRNAs corresponding amino acid is attached (by aminoacyl-tRNA synthetases). tRNAs cope with the degeneracy of the genetic code in two manners: having more than one tRNA (with a specific anti-codon) for a particular amino acid; and 'wobble' base-pairing, i.e. permitting non-standard base-pairing at the 3rd anti-codon position.
GGGCCUGUAGCUCAGCCUGGUAGAGCAGCCGGCUCUUAACCGGUUGGUCGUGGGUUCGAAUCCCACCAGGCCCA